GACGAACGCUGGCUGCGUGCUUAACACAUGCAAGUCGAACGCUGAAGCCCUCAGCUUGCUGGGGGUGGAUGAGUGGCGAACGGGUGAGUAACACGUGAGUAACCUGCCCCUGACUUCGGGAUAAGCCCGGGAAACUGGGUCUAAUACCGGAUAUGACCGCUCCUCGCAUGAGGGAUGGUGGAAAGUUGUUUCGGUUGGGGAUGGGCUCGCGGCCUAUCAGCUAGAUGGUGGGGUAAUGGCCCACCAUGGCGACGACGGGUAGCCGGCCUGAGAGGGCGACCGGCCACACUGGGACUGAGACACGGCCCAGACUCCUACGGGAGGCAGCAGUGGGGAAUAUUGCACAAUGGGGGAAACCCUGAUGCAGCGACGCAGCGUGCGGGAUGACGGCCUUCGGGUUGUAAACCGCUUUCAGCAGGGAAGAAGCCCCUCGGGGUGACGGUACCUGCAGAAGAAGUACCGGCUAACUACGUGCCAGCAGCCGCGGUAAUACGUAGGGCACGAGCGUUGUCCGGAAAUAUUGGGCGUNAAGAGCUCGUAGUGGUUGGUCACGUCUGCUGUGGAAACGCAACGCUUAAUGUUGCGCGUGCAGUGGGUACGGGCUGACUAGAGUGCAGUAGGGGAGUCUGGAAUUCCUGGUGUAGCGGUGAAAUGCGCAGAUAUCAGGAGGAACACCGGUGGCGAAGGCGGGACUCUGGGCUGUAACUGACACUGAGGAGCGAAAGCAUGGGGAGCGAACAGGAUUAGAUACCCUGGUAGUCCAUGCCGUAAACGUUGGGCACUAGGUGUGGGGGACAUUCCACGUUCUCCGCGCCGUAGCUAACGCAUUAAGUGCCCCGCCUGGGGAGUACGGUCGCAAGGCUAAAACUCAAAGGAAUUGACGGGGGCCCGCACAAGCGGCGGAGCAUGCGGAUUAAUUCGAUGCAACGCGAAGAACCUUACCAAGGCUUGACAUACACCAGAUCGGGCUGGAAACAGUCCUUCCCCUUUGGGGUUGGUGUACAGGUGGUGCAUGGUUGUCGUCAGCUCGUGUCGUGAGAUGUUGGGUUAAGUCCCGCAACGAGCGCAACCCUCGUUCUAUGUUGCCAGCACGUGAUGGUGGGAACUCAUAGGAGACUGCCGGGGUCAACUCGGAGGAAGGUGGGGAUGACGUCAAAUCAUCAUGCCCUUUAUGUCUUGGGCUUCACGCAUGCUACAAUGGCUGGUACAGAGAGAUGCGAGACCGUGAGGUUUUAGCGAAUCCCUUAAAGCCAGUCUCAGUUCGGAUCGUAGUCUGCAAUUCGACUACGUGAAGUCGGAGUCGCUAGUAAUCGCAGAUCAGCAACGCUGCGGUGAAUACGUUCCCGGGCCU
Molecule: ribosomal RNA, 1351 nt
Filed under: uncultured bacterium
Lineage: Bacteria
Description: bacterial SSU rRNA
Rfam family: Bacterial small subunit ribosomal RNA
Source: RNAcentral